This 253-nucleotide unclassified non-coding RNA is filed under the name uncultured Myxococcales bacterium. RNAcentral's name for it is "contains 16S-23S intergenic spacer region". It matches the Rfam family "Bacterial small subunit ribosomal RNA", at positions 524 to 776 of the family's 1533-position model. Lineage: Bacteria; Pseudomonadati; Myxococcota; Myxococcia; Myxococcales. The record is from RNAcentral.
UACAGAGGGUGCGAGCGUUGCUCGGAAUCACUGGGCGUAAAGCGCGUGUAGGCGGACGAUCAAGUCAGAUGUGAAAGCCCUGGGCUUAACCCAGGAACUGCAUUUGAAACUGGGCGUCUUGAGUGUUGGAGAGGGAAGCGGAAUUCCUGGUGUAGAGGUGAAAUUCGUAGAUAUCAGGAGGAACACCGGUGGCGAAGGCGGCUUCCUGGACAACAACUGACGCUGAGACGCGAAAGCGUGGGGAGCAAACAGG